RNAcentral lists this ribosomal RNA (412 nucleotides) under uncultured Glomus. RNAcentral describes it as "SSU rRNA". It matches the Rfam family "Eukaryotic small subunit ribosomal RNA", at positions 569 to 986 of the family's 1831-position model. The record is from RNAcentral. Lineage: Eukaryota; Fungi; Glomeromycota; Glomeromycetes; Glomerales; Glomeraceae.
AGCAGCCGCGGUAAUUCCAGCUCCAAUAGCGUAUAUUAAAGUUGUUGCAGUUAAAAAGCUCGUAGUUGAAUUUCGGGAUCAGUAAGCCGGUCGUACCUUCGGUAUGUACUGGCGUCACUGAUUCCUCCCUUCUGAUGAACCGUUAUACCAUUUAGUUGGUGUGGCGGGGAAUCAGGACUGUUACUUUGAAAAAAUUAGAGUGUUUAAAGCAAGCUCGCGCUUGAAUACAUUAGCAUGGAAUAAUAAAAUAGGACGUUUGAUCUCCUAUUUUGUUGGUUUCUAGGAUCGACGUAAUGAUUAAUAGGGAUAGUUGGGGGCAUUAGUAUUCAAUUGUCAGAGUGAAAUUCUUGGAUUUAUGAAGACUAACUACUGCGAAAGCAUUUGCCAAGGAUGUUUCAUUAAUCAAGAACGA